This 327-nucleotide ribosomal RNA is filed under the name uncultured bacterium. RNAcentral's name for it is "bacterial SSU rRNA". It matches the Rfam family "Bacterial small subunit ribosomal RNA", at positions 471 to 793 of the family's 1533-position model. The record is from RNAcentral.
GACGUUACCUACAGAAGAAGCACCGGCUAACUCCGUGCCAGCAGCCGCGGUAAUACGGAGGGUGCGAGCGUUAAUCGGAAUUACUGGGCGUAAAAGCGCAUGCAGGCGGCCUGUUAAGUCAGAUGUGAAAAGCCCGGGCUUAAACCUCGGAAAUUGCAUUUGAAAAACUGGCAGGCUAGAGUCUUGUAGAGGGGGUAGAAUUUCAGGUGUAGCGGUGAAAAUGCGUAGAGAUCUGAAGGAAUACCAGUGGCGAAGGCGGCCCCUGGACAAAGACUGACGCUCAGAUGCGAAAGCGUGGGGAGCAAACAGGAUUAGAUACCCUGGUAG